GGAAAAUUGUUACAUAGAAACUAUCCUUUUUAUAAAACGAGAAAGACUUUAUCGUGCGUCAUUUAAAUAGGCAUCAGCAGUAUUUGGUCCCAUUUUGUAAAUGGCAUCACGCAAACUCCCUUCUACUGUCUCAAAGGUUACAAUGGGAGUUUAUGAAUAACAUAGAGCUGUUAUCAUCAACAUUCCACUGUUUCCAUGGUGAAUGCCC
Molecule: non-coding RNA, 208 nt
Organism: Pelobates cultripes (western spadefoot toad)
Lineage: Eukaryota; Metazoa; Chordata; Amphibia; Anura; Pelobatidae
Source: the annotation of a GenBank genome assembly